UGGGUAGUCCGCACGAGCGCACCUUGUCCUUAGUUGCCAGCAUUAAGUUGGGCACUCUAAGGAGACUGCCGGUGACAAACCGGAGGAAGGUGGGGACGACGUCAAGUCAUCAUGGCCCUUACGUGUAGGGCUACACACGUGCUACAAUGGCAUUUACAGAGGGAAGCAAGACAGUGAUGUGGAGCGGACCCCUUAAAGAAUGUCGUAGUCCGGAUUGGAGUCUGCAACUCGACUCCAUGAAGCCGGAAUCGCUAGUAAUCGCAGGUCAGAAUACUGCGGUGAAUACGUUCCCGGGCCUUGUACACACCGCCCGUCACACCAUGGGAGUGGGAUGCAAAAGAAGUAGUUAGUCUAACCUUCGGGAGGACGAUUACCACUUUGUGUUUCAUGACUGGGGUGAAGUCGUAACAAGGUAACCCUAGGGGAACCUGGGGUUGGAUCACCUCCUU
Molecule: ribosomal RNA, 449 nt
Filed under: uncultured Alteromonadaceae bacterium
Lineage: Bacteria; Pseudomonadati; Pseudomonadota; Gammaproteobacteria; Alteromonadales; Alteromonadaceae
Description: bacterial SSU rRNA
Rfam family: Bacterial small subunit ribosomal RNA
Source: RNAcentral